Molecule: ribosomal RNA, 362 nt
Filed under: uncultured bacterium
Lineage: Bacteria
Description: partial 16S ribosomal RNA
Rfam family: Bacterial small subunit ribosomal RNA
Source: RNAcentral
UGGGGAAUUUUGGACAAUGGGCGAAAGCCUGAUCCAGCAAUGCCGCGUGUGUGAAGAAGGCCUUCGGGUUGUAAAGCACUUUUGUCCGGGAAAGAAAUCCUUGGCUCUAAUACAGUCGGGGGAUGACGGUACCGGAAGAAUAAGCACCGGCUAACUACGUGCCAGCAGCCGCGGUAAUACGUAGGGUGCAAGCGUUAAUCGGAAUUACUGGGCGUAAAGCGUGCGCAGGCGGUUUGCUAAGACCGAUGUGAAAUCCCCGGGCUCAACCUGGGAACUGCAUUGGUGACUGGCAGGCUAGAGUAUGGCAGAGGGGGGUAGAAUUCCACGUGUAGCAGUGAAAUGCGUAGAGAUGUGGAGGAAUA